This is a non-coding RNA of Equus caballus (horse), 4908 nucleotides long. The record is from RefSeq and is a predicted model, not a curated record. Lineage: Eukaryota; Metazoa; Chordata; Mammalia; Perissodactyla; Equidae.
CAUCCUGGGAAGUCAGUUCUGACUUACUCCCACCCUCUACAGAACCUGACAGGGUCAGCUACUCCCCACUCUAUGUCUCAUGCACAUUCAUGUCACAGGCAGUCCUUAUCACCAACUAACUUGUGAUUCCUUCUUGAAGUGUCCAUCCCCCACCCUGCCCCUGUUCCCCAAGGGCAGUGGCCUAGUAUGAUUCACCUCUGUGGACCAUCCAUGCCCAGGCCAGGGCCCAGCAUACAGCACGUGCUCAGCAGCUGCCUUGGGGCCCUAAGACCACAGGUAGCAGUCAUGUGUGUCUGUACAUCUGUGUGACCAUCCUGCCUGACAACUGUCAUCCUAAAAGCCACAGCCCCACAUGAUCAAAAGCCACCCACAGUCACCCAUCCAGUCUUAUGAUUAUCUCCACCAGGCACAUGCAGAGAGCCUGCCAGACACAGAAAGUCACCACCUCACACAGUCGACCUCACACUCAGAAUUGCUCACCCUCAGCUUCACACAAUCACAUUCCCUCAGAUACAUAACAGUCCACAGUAUCUCACUCCUGAUAGACCUGCCUGGCCUCACAUAAAGACAUGCACACAUAUGCGCAAGCACACACGUUUCCCUCACAACUGAUAGAAACCUUCCCCUUCCCACAGCACAGGCCCUGAGCCAAUUCAGUUGCCUACACAGGAGUCUAUACGAUGGCUCCCAUGAUGGCCAUCUGACCUUGACUUGCCCUCUCCCUCCAUUUAGUUGAACCCCUGCUCCCCCUACUUCCUUCUACCUCCAGUCAAAUGAAGGGUAGAAUGGUCUCCUCCUCCCUAGCCACAGGUCACCUAGACUCACACGCCCUGGAGAGCCAGUCGAACAGAGCAGUCUACAUACCAUUCCACAACAUGACCUUGGAGCUCUCCCCAGGUUAUUGUCCAUGCUAUCCCUGUCUCCUGUAAUGCUGCCUCACUUCUGCCACCUGUUCAAACCCUUCCCAGCCUUACACUCUUGCCCCUUUUUCUCCAACAAGCCCUCCUGGACACCACCCCACCUAGCCCACCUUGACAGCUCCUUCCUCUUUGGGCCAGGAACAUAUUUUGCUCAUUACUGCAGCCAUAUGUGCUCAAUCAUUUCUGCCCAUCAUACUUUGCCUACUUUCCCAAAGCAUUUCUCACCUCCCUUGGCAGAUGGAGAACUUAUGGAGAACACAGCCACUGUCUUACUUUUUAUCCCUCACAGUAUUUUAGCCUGAAGCCUUGCACACAGUAGGUGCUCAAGCAAUACCUUCUGGAAAAGCAAAUAAGGGAGAGAGAAAGAGAGAGGGAAGGAUGGAGGAAGGGAUGGAGGGAGAGGGGAAACAAAUGAGAAUUUGAAUGAGUGGAUGAGUAGAUGAGUUGAGUGACUAAAUGAGUUAAGCAAAGAGUGAGGGAAUCAGGUAAGCCUCCAGGAAAGCUACAGGAUCAGUGUGAUGGGGAUGUUGAAGGGAGGAAGGAAAGAAAGGAGAGGAAGGACUCUCACCUGGGCCUUAAUCAAAACCAGAGCCACUAACCACUGCACACUUGCCCAACCGUGCACCAGACUCUAUGCUGGGCUCCUUGCAUUUUCUUGCUAAUCUUCAUGACAAUCCAGAAAGGUAGAUAUAUUCUCACUGUACUCGGGAGGAAAAUGAAGCUUAAGGAGAAGAAAAUACUUGCUCAAGGUUACACAGAUAGUAAGUAAGUGACAGAACCAGAAGGUAAACUCAGAUUUGUCUCAUGCCAAAGGCUCAAAAAGGGAAAGUCGGGGUAUGAGACCUCCUGGCGUUGCUCCUGACAGAGACACAUCAUAGAAGGUGUGGGUCUUACAGCCCAUAAAAACACCUUCCACCCACCUGCCAACAGCCUCCAGGGAUUCUUAGAACCAGCUUCUGGCAGGAAAUAUUCAGGGUCAUUGUAUCUGGGGAAAACGGCUUCCCCUCAGAUUCAGAGAUCCCUCAAGUUGUAAAAUCAGAACCUUGAAAGUACAGAAUCAAGGACUCUUAACAUCACAGAAUAUUAAAAUCACAUCAUCAGAAUUUGUUUUAAAUGGUAGAAUCAUUAAAUCUUAAAACCACAGGAUUGGAGAAUCCAAAAAUCACAGCAUUGUAGAAAUAGAAACCACAGAAUUGCAUGGAAUGUGUCACUGAAUUAUCAUAUCUUAAGUUCAUAAGUAAUCAUAGCUUCUUAAAAUUGUAGCAUCUCAGACUGACAGAACGUCAGAGCUGGAGGAGCCCUUGGAAAUCCUCUGAUCCAACCCCCCUCCUCCUUUUACCCACUGGGAAACCUGGUAGCAGAAAGGCCAAGCAACAUGUCCAAGUUGGCCAACUCAGGUCACCUUGGGCUGAUGGGCUGGAGAAGGCAACAGGCUUGCCCAUGGUGGGAGCACCACACCACUCAUUCACUUAUUGAGUGCUUUUUGGGUGUUAAUAUUACCAUGAAUCAAAGCCUACUCUCUCUCCCAGUCCUGGAUAGGAAAGAAGGUAAGGCCCUGGGGGGGUUGGGGAGAGGGAAGCGGAAGUGGGGUGGAACAUACAUCAGACAGAGAGAAGAGAUCAGCUUUUAUUGAUGGAAAUUCCUUUGUACACAGCGACACGACACGCACUCUGAAAGGCCUAUGGAAGUAGCAGGGGGCAUGGGACAAGGCCUUCAAGCAGUGGAGGAGAUGGCAGCGAUGGCCACAGCGAAGGAAAGAGCGACGGGGAACUAGGCAGGCUGGGUCCCGCCCCCGUCUGGUCCUCUGAGCCCUAGGCACCCUGCAUCUCUGUUUGUGCUCACAGAGGACAGAGAGUAAUCCAUAGUAUGGGUGGAUCGUGAAGGAAAAGCUGUUCUCUACUGAUGGACAUGUAGCAGGAAAUGUGAAGCAAGGAAAUCCAACAAACAGCCUGGAGGGUGCACAAAAAGAGGGAAGGACCAAGAGGCAGGCUUGCAUGGAUGGCAGAAGCACAGAGCUCAAGAGCAAACGGGCUCCCAGCCAGCCAAGAGAUUCAGACCCAGGUCUGUAGAUAGAGAAUCUGAGGGUAAGAGAAUCCUGGAAUUGGGGAAGACUUAGGUCAUUUCACUGGGCUUUAUACCGAUUCAGGAAUUAUGCUUUCUCCAGCUCUCUCUGACCCCCACUGGGCCUCUGCUGGACACAUUCAGCCAGCCCCCACCCCCACAUGGUGCUGCAGAUGGCCAGAUUGGAAAGUUCUUCCUGAUUUACACCAAAUUUUCCCACUGCUCCUGGUUCUGCUCCCUGGAGCCACACAUAAGGAGGCUGCUUCCUCUAUCACUGGCCUGACCACGAUAGAAAAGUCUUCUGCAGCCCAAGCUCAAGGACCACAAUGCCCAUCAAGUCGCCCACUGCCCCCACCCCACCAUGGCCCUCUCCUGAAAGGGCCUUGCUUGACUGAGCUGGACCCUUCCUCCAGUGUGGGGCCCCAAGCCGCACUCAGGCAGUCCUCCAGGAAUCAGUUCCCAGCAGCCCCACCUGGACAGGAGAGCCCAUCUCCCUCACCCCAAGACUACUCUGGGGCAGCCCACACCAAAAUUCAGCUGAGGGUGCACUGCAGUGGAGCCCAACCGAGCCCUCGAGCUGCAGCUGCUGCUCCUGGGGCGCAGCCAUCUCAACCCAGCACCCCAGCCUGCUGCCUCACCACGGGGGAGUUGCAGAGAGCUGUCUCCCAGCAGAUUUCCUGAGGCAGAAGGCUUCCCCACCCCCAGCCCAGCCUCCAAGAGACACUCUACUGGUUGUGGCACAUGGUAGGACCAGCUGAGCAGUGAGAGAAGGGGGAAGGCUGUCCAUUCGCUAGAGGACUUCAGACUUGCUCUGUAGUGUGGCUGGAUUAGCCACAGAACCAUCAAAUCUAAGCAGGAGGGGUCCUCAAAGAGCAUUUAAGGCAGACCUUGCCUUUUAGAAAGAUAUGAGGGAACUGAUGGCCUGAGAGAGGAAGGGACUCAGUCAAGGUCGCAGAGCUGGAAGGGGAAGCCGGGUCUCCUAACUCCCAGUUCAGCGUUGUCUCCAGUACAGCGGAACAGAAAUCAGGAAGCCUUUAGGGCAGCCCUGUGAGCCUGCGUGCCCUUGACUCUCUCAGCCUGACAUUCAUCCCAGCCAGCUCACCAUGGUAUCUGCAUGGAAGAAGUGCACCCAGCCCAUGGCCCACCAACCCAAGAGAUAUUGCCAAGGUGUCCCAAAUAGGCAGACACACAGACCCUAGCACAGAAACUGGCUCUGAUCCAAAAGAGGAAAGAUCUGUAGACUUCCCUUUCUGGUACACUGUUUAAUUGGGUGGUGUUUUUCUUGGGGGUGGAGAGGGGGUGGUCUUUGAGGAACCAGCCAAGGGUCAGGCCUCCAUCUUUGCUCCCCCAUCUUUGCUCUCCCAGCCAGGAUGUACGGCAGUUCUCCUCAGAGGGAUGUCUCAACCUCCAGCAGGCGUUCUGGCCCCCACCCGCCUCCCUGGGAAAGGAUGGAGCUGAGGCAGCCGGAGGAGACAAGAUCAGGCCUGCACUAAGGACCUACAGAAGAGACCCGAAUAGGCCAAAAAAAAAAAAAAAAGUGGGGGGAGGGCUUUCUUUCCCUUGGGGGUCUGACUUGACAACAUCGCAGACAAUAAAAAUCCCAACCAGCAUAUUCAAAAUAAAUAAGUAAAAGAAAAACCAUCUUCUGGCAAGGAUACAGCCAGGGGGUGAAGGAAGUGGAGGGGGUGAUGACCGCUCUAGGCCCUCACUGGCCACGGUUUUGAGAAAGAAGAGACGCCUGCACUCAUCCGACCAGCCCCGUCUGGGGUGACUAGAGAAGGGGUGUCGCUGCAUGAGGGGGACCUGGCUUCUCCUGACAGGCUGGGACAGGAGAAAAGGACAUGGAAUCAGACACUGGCUUCUUACUUUACCAGGCGGACAAGUUGGAGAGGGAACUAGAGGGGAAGAGCCGGGGGGUACAAACACA